Molecule: non-coding RNA, 263 nt
Organism: Cricetulus griseus (Chinese hamster)
Lineage: Eukaryota; Metazoa; Chordata; Mammalia; Rodentia; Cricetidae
Source: RefSeq, a predicted model, not a curated record
CUAACAGUCAAGAGAGCCUGAGAAGUAUACAUGUUGUGACAUGGAAUGUGGCCUCAGCAGCCCCCACUGUGGACCUCAGUGACCUACUUCAACUGAAUAGCCAAGACCUGAAUCUGGACAUAUAUAUCAUUGGUUUGCAGGAAAUGAAUUCUGGAAUCAUAAGCCUUCUUUCUGAUGCUGCUUUUGAAGACCCAUGGAGCACUCUCUUCAUGGAUGUGCUUUCCCGUCUGCACUUUGUCAAGGUAAGUUAAAAGUCUGUGGGC